Molecule: ribosomal RNA, 424 nt
Filed under: uncultured bacterium
Lineage: Bacteria
Description: bacterial SSU rRNA
Rfam family: Bacterial small subunit ribosomal RNA
Source: RNAcentral
UGAGGAAUAUUGGUCAAUGGAGGCAACUCUGAACCAGCCAUGCCGCGUGAAGGAUGACGGCCCUAUGGGUUGUAAACUUCUUUUAUAUGGGAAGAAACUUAUCUACGUGUAGAUAACUGACGGUACCAUACGAAUAAGGAUCGGCUAACUCCGUGCCAGCAGCCGCGGUAAUACGGAGGAUCCAAGCGUUAUCCGGAUUCAUUGGGUUUAAAGGGUCCGUAGGCGGAUUUUUAAGUCAGUGGUGAAAGCCGACAGCUCAACUGUCGAACUGCCAUUGAUACUGGAGAUCUUGAGUACAAAUGAAGUAGGCGGAAUGAGUCAUGUAGCGGUGAAAUGCAUAGAUAUGACUCAGAACACCAAUUGCGAAGGCAGCUUACUAACAUGUAACUGACGCUGAGGGACGAAAGCGUGGGGAGCGAACAGG